GAACAUCUCCCCGUUCUCAUCUGGACCAUCCUGGACCUGGACCUGCACAGGUGAGACAUGGACAGGUGAGACAUGGACAGGUGAGACAGGUGAGACAUGGACAGGUGAGACAUGGACAGGUGAGACAGGAACAGACACACAGAGCCACAGGAACAUCUCCCCAUUCUCAUCUGGACCGUCCUGGACCUGGACCUGUACAGGUACAACAGGUGAGACACAGACAGACACACAGACAGACACACGGACACAGGUGAGAUAUGGACACCCAGGUGGAACAGGGCCAGGUGAGACACACGGACACACAGACACACAGACACAUGGACACACACAGACACAGACACACAGGACACACAGGUGGAACGGGGACAGGUGAGACACACGGACACAGGAACACACACACAGGAACACACACACACACACAUGGACACACAGACAGGUGGAACAGGGCCAGGUGAGACACACAGACACACGGACACACAGACACACACAGGACACACACACAGAGGUGGAACAGAGCCAGGUGAGACACACAGGAACACACACAGGACACACAGACACACAGGACACACAGACACAGAGGUGGAACAGGGACAGGUGAGACAGGUGAGACACACGGACACAACUCUGGGGACAGUGCAGGGGUCACUGGGGGUCCCUGUGGAGUCCUGGGGUUCCAGGGGGGGUCCCGGGGAGGAUCAUUGGGGGUCCCUGGGUGUCCCAGGGGGUCCCUGAGGGUCCCGGGGG
RNAcentral lists this long non-coding RNA (744 nucleotides) under Parus major (Great Tit). RNAcentral describes it as "lncRNA (ENSPMJG00000002461.1)". Lineage: Eukaryota; Metazoa; Chordata; Aves; Passeriformes; Paridae. The record is from RNAcentral.